GCAAGUCGAGCGGUAACAGACAUAAAGAUUCAGCUUGCUGAAUCCGGUGCUGACGAGCGGCGAACGGGUGAGUAACGCGUAGGAAUCUACCCAGUAGCGGGGGAUAGCCCGAGGAAACUCGGAUUAAUACCGCAUACGCCCUGAGGGGGAAAGGGGGCAAUUUAUUGCUCUCACUAUUGGAUGAGCCUGCGUAAGAUUAGCUUGUUGGUAGGGUAAUGGCCUACCAAGGCGACGAUCUUUAGCUGGUCUGAGAGGACGAUCAGCCACAUUGGGACUGAGACACGGCCCAGACAUCUACGGAUGGCAGCAGUUAAGAAUAUUGGACAAUGGGGGCAACCCUGAUCCAGGUAUACCGCGUGUGUGAAGAAGGCCCUAGGGUUGUAAAGCACUUUAAUCAGAGAAGAAGCAUUUUAAGUUAAUACCUUAAUUUGUUGACGUUAACUGAAGAAUAAGGACCGGCUAACUCCGUGCCAGCAGCCGCGGUAAUACGGAGGGUCCAAGCGUUAAUCGGAAUUACUGGGCGUAAAGCGCGCGUAGGCGGUUUAGCAAGUUGUAUGUGAAAGCCCUGGGCUCAACCUAGGAACUGCAUCCAAAACUACUAAGCUAGAGUACGAGAGAGGAGAGUAGAAUUUCUGGUGUAGCGGUGA
This 647-nucleotide ribosomal RNA is filed under the name uncultured marine bacterium. Its description in RNAcentral is "bacterial SSU rRNA". It matches the Rfam family "Bacterial small subunit ribosomal RNA", at positions 57 to 684 of the family's 1533-position model. The record is from RNAcentral.